AGAGUUUGAUCCUGGCUCAGGAUGAACGCUGGCGGCGUGCCUAAUACAUGCAAGUCGAGCGAACAGACGAGGAGCUUGCUCCUUUGACGUUAGCGGCGGACGGGUGAGUAACACGUAGGUAACCUACCUAUAAGACUGGGAUAACUUCGGGAAACCGGAGCUAAUACCGGAUAAUAUUUCGAACCGCAUGGUUCGAUAGUGAAAGAUGGCUUUGCUAUCACUUAUAGAUGGACCUGCGCCGUAUUAGCUAGUUGGUAAGGUAACGGCUUACCAAGGCAACGAUACGUAGCCGACCUGAGAGGGUGAUCGGCCACACUGGAACUGAGACACGGUCCAGACUCCUACGGGAGGCAGCAGUAGGGAAUCUUCCGCAAUGGGCGAAAGCCUGACGGAGCAACGCCGCGUGAGUGAUGAAGGUCUUCGGAUCGUAAAACUCUGUUAUUAGGGAAGAACAAACGUGUAAGUAACUGUGCACGUCUUGACGGUACCUAAUCAGAAAGCCACGGCUAACUACGUGCCAGCAGCCGCGGUAAUACGUAGGUGGCAAGCGUUAUCCGGAAUUAUUGGGCGUAAAGCGCGCGUAGGCGGUUUUUUAAGUCUGAUGUGAAAGCCCACGGCUCAACCGUGGAGGGUCAUUGGAAACUGGAAAACUUGAGUGCAGAAGAGGAAAGUGGAAUUCCAUGUGUAGCGGUGAAAUGCGCAGAGAUAUGGAGGAACACCAGUGGCGACGCGACUUUCUGGUCUGUAACUGACGCUGAUGUGCGAAAGCGUGGGGAUCAAACAGAUUAGAUACCCUGGUAGUCCACGCCGUAAACGGUGGGCGCUAGUGGUGGGUUUUCUUCCACGGGAUCCGUGCCGUAGCUAACGCAUUAAGCGCCCCGGCCUGGGGAGUACGGCGCAAGCUAAAACU
This 910-nucleotide ribosomal RNA is filed under the name uncultured bacterium. RNAcentral's name for it is "bacterial SSU rRNA". It matches the Rfam family "Bacterial small subunit ribosomal RNA", at positions 8 to 901 of the family's 1533-position model. The record is from RNAcentral.